Hippocampus comes (tiger tail seahorse) is the source of this 995-nucleotide long non-coding RNA. RefSeq lists it as uncharacterized. The transcript has 2 exons. The record is from RefSeq and is a predicted model, not a curated record. Lineage: Eukaryota; Metazoa; Chordata; Actinopteri; Syngnathiformes; Syngnathidae.
AUUCGAUUGAAGUUUUUAAAACAAAGCUUCACCUCGACCGGUCUCUGAACAAGCACGCUUCGUUUGCGUCAUUUUUGUUUCGAGCGACCAGACGUCUGCUGCAGCGCAGUCGUACGUCAUCCUUUAGUGUCCUCAUGACGUCUAAUUCUAUGUACUGUUGUUUGUCAUGUCCAGGAUCGACUGAUAGCUGGACUUCGUGCACCUCAGGGAAAAUGAGUCUCUCCCAAAUGGACUGUCUGUGCCCAAAAAGGGCACACGUUGCUUCUGUGUCACAUGUACAUGCACGCGAGCUACUUUUUUCUUGAUUUCACUCAAAAGGGAUACAAAGGAUGUCGUUUUUCAUGCAGUAGUAAUUGUUCUAUUGGCCACGUUGUCGACAAAAGGUGUGCUGUUAACAGCCUGCUGUGUGGAGAAACUCGGGGAGAUCUGUCUUUGGAAAUCAGGUUCAACUACAGUACAUGGAUCGCCUUAGUCCAAACACAAGAUGAGCAAGCCCCAGUCUGUAUUCUUCGGUCAUUUAAUGAAUAUAUACUGUAUCCAUUUUUGAUUUAAACUUAUUGGCCCCUUCUUUGGUCCACAUGCACAAUAUUGUAAUCUGACUCACAAACUAAUGCAUGCAUAUUUAAAAAAAAUGGACAUCGCAAAGAUAAUGUUAGUUUGGCAAUGUCAACAAGCUGGAAAUGUAACUUCUUUACACCUAUUGUGUUAUUGUAUUGUAUCUCAGGCUGUACAUGUACCUAAUAAAAGUAGUGUUUUUAAUCCAAUGAUUUUGUAUUUUUUAAUAAAUAAAGGUUCUCAGCAAUAAAUAAAGUGAAAAGACCGACUCUAUAUAUUACACCACCUAUGCUACGAGUUUGACCUACUUUUAGCAAGUCUAAAAUCCAGUUGACUUUUAACCAAAUUUGCAAAUGCACAUUUGACAUUCGACCAAAAUAAGGCCCAUUGACUGAAUGGGAUUCACGUUAUGUAACCCCAAUAUCUGCGUUGCUACUUUU